UUUUUAUGAUUCUGAAUUAAUUAACA
Molecule: unclassified non-coding RNA, 26 nt
Filed under: Klebsiella pneumoniae subsp. pneumoniae BJ1-GA
Lineage: Bacteria; Pseudomonadati; Pseudomonadota; Gammaproteobacteria; Enterobacterales; Enterobacteriaceae
Description: ctRNA_pT181
Source: RNAcentral